This is a non-coding RNA of Schizosaccharomyces pombe (fission yeast), 1233 nucleotides long. The record is from the annotation of a GenBank genome assembly. NCBI's taxonomy places the organism in Eukaryota, Fungi, Ascomycota, Schizosaccharomycetes, Schizosaccharomycetales, Schizosaccharomycetaceae.
AUUGAAAUUUCCUCUACAAAAUAUCGAUAGUUUUUGAAAACCGAGUAUUUAUAGCAGAUAAAGUCGGAAAUACAUAUGAUACUAACUGCAUGCACUAAAGAAAGGAUAUAUUCUCUCAGCGGCGUUUGCCUCAAAGAUUUUUUCAAUUAAAAAGUAUUUAACUCUAUGUUUUGAGUUAAAAACAGAUGUUUUUAAAGACCUCUGCUAUCCCUAAAAAUCCACGUAUCUUACCAGCUGAUGUAAGAUACUCAACUACCAAGAACUUUAAUAUGUAAGGACAGAAACCUUUCGAAACUUUCCAGAUCACGAUUUGUAUAAUUUAAAUCAAAAAGCUGUAGAUUUGGGUUUAUCGACUACGGAGCCGAUUUAGUCCGGAUUUUUUCAACAGCGAGAUCUCAGAAAAAUCGAAAAACACUGCUUCUUACUCACCAAAAAAAUCCCUAAAAUCACAGUAAAGUGCUUCAGGAAAUGCGGAUCCUUUUUUUGAUAAAAAGGAAAUUUGCUUGCUUUUUUAAGAUCUCACACAAACAGAACUAAAUCUUUCACCCUCUCUUAUGGUGAGUUAGUGGUAAACGAUAAAUACUUGAAGGUUACAUAUUAGUAACUCAAUUAUUGUACCAUUCGAUUCCACUAUGUUAAACCAAUUGUAUUACAUAAAUGAUAAAGAAUUUCAUUGUUCAACUCGAGUUUUUCUAAUAAACCAUUUUUAUUUAUAGACUGCAGUGACUACUUAUUCAAAUUCACAUUGAAUAUGAGAAUAAAAACAUUCCAAAAUUUCUUAACAUUUUCUUGUCAUAAUAAAAAGUUAAUCACCAGGCUUCUGUUUAAAGGUUUUACCAUUAUUUAAUAUUUGGUAUUUCAAACACAGAGCAUAAAUACCCGUCGCAGAAUUGAAAAAUAAAAUCCUAAAUUUUUUAUAAUUGCCCAUUAUAUGCGUCUUUCGAACGUAAAUAAUCAUCACUAAAAACCAAAUCCUACAAAUUUUUACAAAAAUAAUACACAAAUACCAUUUUGUGAAACAUUAAUUAUCCCUCAACUCAAUAUUUUGGUAGCUUCAUUCCUAACUGUCAUCUUGGAAAGAUUCGAAUAACACAAAAGAAGAAACAAACACAAAAAAAACAGAUUCACGGAACUAAUCAAAAGAUAGAUGGAUAUGUGCAAAACAAAAGCUUAACAAGUAAACCAAUUUCCUUCGUCUAUUAUAGAGAAAUUUUUGAAUACCGCUAAAUGCAA